RNAcentral lists this ribosomal RNA (655 nucleotides) under Salmonella enterica. RNAcentral describes it as "bacterial SSU rRNA". It matches the Rfam family "Bacterial small subunit ribosomal RNA", at positions 180 to 849 of the family's 1533-position model. Lineage: Bacteria; Pseudomonadati; Pseudomonadota; Gammaproteobacteria; Enterobacterales; Enterobacteriaceae. The record is from RNAcentral.
CAACCUGCAUGGGUAUGGUGUGGAAAGUUUUUCGGUCUGGGAUGGACUCGCGGCCUAUCAGCUUGUUGGUGAGGUAAUGGCUCACCAAGGCGACGACGGGUAGCCGGCCUGAGAGGGCGACCGGCCACACUGGGACUGAGACACGGCCCAGACUCCUACGGGAGGCAGCAGUGGGGAAUAUUGCACAAUGGGCGAAAGCCUGAUGCAGCGACGCCGCGUGAGGGAUGACGGCCUUCGGGUUGUAAACCUCUUUCAGCAGGGAAGAAGCGCAAGUGACGGUACCUGCAGAAGAAGCACCGGCUAACUACGUGCCAGCAGCCGCGGUAAUACGUAGGGUGCGAGCGUUGUCCGGAAUUAUUGGGCGUAAAGAGCUUGUAGGCGGUUUGUCGCGUCUGCCGUGAAAAUUCGAGGCUCAACCUCGAACUUGCGGUGGGUACGGGCAGACUAGAGUGUGGUAGGGGAGACUGGAAUUCCUGGUGUAGCGGUGAAAUGCGCAGAUAUCAGGAGGAACACCGAUGGCGAAGGCAGGUCUCUGGGCCACUACUGACGCUGAGAAGCGAAAGCAUGGGGAGCGAACAGGAUUAGAUACCCUGGUAGUCCAUGCCGUAAACGUUGGGAACUAGGUGUGGGUCUCAUUCCACGAGAUCCGUGCCGC